GAUGAAGAACGUAGCGAAAUGCGAUAAGUAGUGUGAAUUGCAGAAUUCCGUGAAUCAUCGAAUCUUUGAACGCACAUUGCGCCCCCUGGCAUUCCGGGAGGCAUGCCUGUUCGAGCGUCAUUGCUGCCCUCAAGCACGGCUUGUGUGUUGGGCCUCCGUCCUCCUCCCGGGGGACGGGCCCGAAAGGCAGCGGCGGCACCGCGUCCGGUCCUCGAGCGUAUGGGGCUUCGUCACCCGCUCUUGUAGGCCCGGCCGGCGCUUGCCGACACAUCAAUCUUUUUUCCAGGUUGACCUCGGAUCAGGUAGGGAUACCCGCUGAACUUAAGCAUAUCAAUAAGCGGAGGA
RNAcentral lists this unclassified non-coding RNA (345 nucleotides) under soil metagenome. Its description in RNAcentral is "partial contains 5.8S ribosomal RNA, internal transcribed spacer 2, and large subunit ribosomal RNA". The stretch from base 1 to 120 matches the Rfam family "5.8S ribosomal RNA", at positions 35 to 154 of the family's 154-position model. The record is from RNAcentral.